UAUAUUUAUUUAUAAUAAUCGCCAACUUCAGGUCAUUUUUAAUGUAUUCGUGUAAUUGGCGCAAAUUAGGUUCUCGCAAGAAAAAUGUUCCGCGAUAAUAUUCGUCAUUUUGUGAUAAUACACAUACAUUCACUUCAUCCUUCCACUUCAAGAACGUGGAAUGCAGAACGCGAGGCGAACAAUAAUGGCAGUCACGAUAUAAAGAGUGGAGAUGCUUUGAUGGCUUUCUUCACAUCACUUAAUCAUUAUAUCGCUGCAUCAUUGCAAGUGACGUUUUCGUGACGCAGUUGCGAUCUGAAUGAUGGACUGGUACAAAAAAUCUUAUCGAGGAAUUUAGCUUCAAACUUCGCCAUUCGCUCGUGUUUUGCGCGACGAAACUCAAGAGGCCCGGAUGAGAGACGACUUUCUUCAUCCUAUCGCGCUUCGUCUCGCAAUCGAAAUCGUCUUCCUGACAAACCAGCGUAUCCCGCCAGCUUCUCAAGAUUAUCAGAUCGGCGAUCUGCGCGAGUUCCGGAUCCACGGGAUCGUCCGGUCUCAGAGCCACCGCCAAAGUGUAUCCUAUUCUGGUGAAGGAAAAGCUGAAUGUCUUCAGUAUAAUCUUGAAGCUGUCCCAAUCGUCGGCGACAGUCGGCCAGUCGAGCUCGAUGCCGUCGAAGGGAUAUUUCUCGAGGAAUUCAAGGAUGGACUUUUCCGGAAAGGAGGGCAUUUUCGAGAAAAAUUGGAUGUCGUCGUACACAAUGUAAUUUGUGAGUGAUAUGAGCACCUGCAGCGUUGGAUCCCGCGAACGAAGUUCCAUAAUAGCUUUAUAUCCAGCUGUGUAGCAAGGAUCGGCGGUGCCACAGGUUCGAUCCAAAUCGAUUCGUGGUCCACAUCGACACUUAGGAAAGGCGCCUCGCGAUGUUCCACCGCGUCUCUCAAAGGGUGUGAAAAACUGUCACUGUCAGACGGGAGUGAAAACACCGUCCGAUGAAAACACCUGUCAACGGCGCACUGAUCCGAGCAAGGGCUCCUCUUCUAGGUCUCCUCCAGGUGUGUGCGUGCUCCUCCGCGAUGAAUUUUAAAAGACCACCACCACCACCGCGAACGGGGAGGGCCAACAAUCUGGUAUUCCGGACGCGCGAGGACGCAAUAUAUAUACCUACUCCUCCAUUCCGGGGACGAGAGAGAGCCCCCGUGAUCCAACAUCCUACCUAUUAAGUCUCCCGCUCUGCGACGACCUUGACCACGACUUCGUUCAU
This is a long non-coding RNA of Nylanderia fulva, 1238 nucleotides long. RefSeq lists it as uncharacterized. The record is from RefSeq and is a predicted model, not a curated record. Lineage: Eukaryota; Metazoa; Arthropoda; Insecta; Hymenoptera; Formicidae.